Molecule: ribosomal RNA, 494 nt
Filed under: uncultured bacterium
Lineage: Bacteria
Description: partial 16S ribosomal RNA
Rfam family: Bacterial small subunit ribosomal RNA
Source: RNAcentral
GACGAACGCUGGCGGCGUGCUUAACACAUGCAAGUCGAACGGUGAAGCGCCUUCCUUUUUGGUGGGUGUGGAUGAGUGGCGAACGGGUGAGUAACACGUGAGUAACCUGCCCCCUUCUUCUGGAUAACCGCAUGAAAGUGUGGCUAAUACGGGAUAUUCUGGGUCUGUCGCAUGAUGGGUCUGGGAAAGAUAUUGUUUCGGUGGGGGAUGGGCUCGCGGCCUAUCAGCUUGUUGGUGGGGUGAUGGCCUACCAAGGCGGUGACGGGUAGCCGGCCUGAGAGGGUGGACGGUCACACUGGGACUGAGACACGGCCCAGACUCCUACGGGAGGCAGCAGCGGGGAAUAUUGCACAAUGGGCGCAAGCCUGAUGCAGCGACGCCGCGUGAGGGAUGGAGGCCUUCGGGUUGUGAACCUCUUUCGCCAGUGAAGCAGGCCUGCCUCGUUUGUGGGUGGGUUGACGGUAGCUGGAUAAGAAGCGCCGGCUAACUACGUG